UUAACUCAAAUUUGUAAGCAGUUGGAACAGCGUCCUUAGCGGCAAACUUAAGCAAACUUUCCAACUCCGUACAAAUUUGAGUUA
This 84-nucleotide microRNA precursor is filed under the name Bombyx mori (domestic silkworm). RNAcentral describes it as "mir-2807 microRNA precursor family". It matches the Rfam family "mir-2807 microRNA precursor family". The record is from Rfam by way of RNAcentral. Lineage: Eukaryota; Metazoa; Arthropoda; Insecta; Lepidoptera; Bombycidae.